AUGAUACAGUGACCUAAAUGAAUAUGUCAUUUUAGACACCCUAGAGUAUUUUGUCAGGCCUAUAAGAUACUGUUCCAGCAGGCCGUGAGUCUUCCCCACUUAGGUUUCUUGAAUAUCUUGAAAUAUGUUUUGGGUCUUUUGGAGGACAGGAGUGACUACCACCAGGCAAUGAGGCUUUUCCCUGCUGUAGAUUGCUGUGAAAUGCAAGACUCACACUCCUAAGUUUAUCCCAAGUCGAAUGUAUUUUAAGAGGUUCCUGGGAAGCUUCAGAUGGCAAAGCUUGCAACCUGAAAUCAUCUGAUAGUGACCUAAAAAGUAGAGGAGAGGAAUGGGAGAAGAGAGGACAACCAGGAGGAUCAAAUUGCUGGAUAUCAUGGCUGGGAAAGAAUCAGGAGAAAGGGAACAAAUGUCAAAGUGUAGCAAGCCAGUGACAAAUGGCUCCAAAGCAAGACUCACAGAGUAAGCAGGUAUCAUGUCAGGCCCUAUAACCAGAUAUUUGCUGACCAAAUUUAUUUUGUCAAGAAAACAUCAAAUACUGAAAGUUCUGAAACUCCUCUUUACAGACAUU
Long non-coding RNA from Vidua chalybeata, 568 nucleotides. RefSeq lists it as uncharacterized. The record is from RefSeq and is a predicted model, not a curated record. Lineage: Eukaryota; Metazoa; Chordata; Aves; Passeriformes; Viduidae. The transcript is spliced from 4 exons.